Molecule: ribosomal RNA, 450 nt
Filed under: uncultured bacterium
Lineage: Bacteria
Description: partial 16S ribosomal RNA
Rfam family: Bacterial small subunit ribosomal RNA
Source: RNAcentral
GUGGGGAAUCUUCCGCAAUGGACGAAAGUCUGACGGAGCAACGCCGCGUGAACGAUGACGGCCUUCGGGUUGUAAAGUUCUGUUAUACGGGACGAAUGGUACGACGGUCAAUACCCGUCGUAAGUGACGGUACCGUAAGAGAAAGCCACGGCUAACUACGUGCCAGCAGCCGCGGUAAUCCGUAGGUGGCAAGCGUUGUCCGGAAUUAUUGGGCGUAAAGGGCGCGCAGGCGGCGUCGUAAGUCGGUCCUAAAAGUGCGGGGCUUAACCCCGCGAGGGGACCGAAACUGCGAUGCUAGAGUAUCGGAGAGGAAAGCGGAAUUCCUAGUGUAGCGGUGAAAUGCGUAGAUAUUAGGAGGAACACCAGUGGCGAAAGCGGCUUUCUGGACGACAACUGACGCUGAGGCGCGAAAGCCAGGGGAGCAAACGGGAUUAGAAACCCUUGUAGUCC